This 586-nucleotide ribosomal RNA is filed under the name uncultured bacterium. Its description in RNAcentral is "bacterial SSU rRNA". It matches the Rfam family "Bacterial small subunit ribosomal RNA", at positions 338 to 916 of the family's 1533-position model. The record is from RNAcentral.
CCUACGGGAGGCAGCAGUGGGGAAUUUUGGACAAUGGGCGCAAGCCUGAUCCAGCAAUGCCGCGUGAGUGAAGAAGGCCUUCGGGUUGUAAAGCUCUUUUGUCAGGGAAGAAACGGUGGUUCCUAAUACGGACUACUAAUGACGGUACCUGAAGAAUAAGCACCGGCUAACUACGUGCCAGCAGCCGCGGUAAUACGUAGGGUGCAAGCGUUAAUCGGAAUUACUGGGCGUAAAGCGUGCGCAGGCGGUUAUAUAAGUCAGAUGUGAAAUCCCCGGGCUCAACCUGGGAACUGCAUUUGAGACUGUAUGGCUAGAGUGUGUCAGAGGGGGGUAGAAUUCCACGUGUAGCAGUGAAAUGCGUAGAUAUGUGGAGGAAUACCGAUGGCGAAGGCAGCCCCCUGGGAUAACACUGACGCUCAUGCACGAAAGCGUGGGGAGCAAACAGGAUUAGAUACCCUGGUAGUCCACGCCCUAAACGAUGUCUACUAGUUGUCGGGACUUAAUUGUCUUGGUAACGCAGCUAACGCGUGAAGUAGACCGCCUGGGGAGUACGGUCGCGAAGNUUAAAACUCAAAUGAAUUGACGG